CAUAGAUACAAGGAAACGGGUACGUGGCAGCGUAUCCCGAACCAGUUCGUUCGACCCGGAACACGGGUCGUUUCCAACCAGAUCGCCACAAUUCGCGUCCGGUUCGUGAAUUCCGGCGAUCCACACAAACUCCGGCGACCAAGUCUUUUAAGAAUAACAGAGAGAGUGGGUACGCUGUCACAAGAGCACACAUAGUUCAGAUCUAAACAUCAUAUGAUACUGGC
This 224-nucleotide long non-coding RNA is filed under the name Daucus carota (carrot). RNAcentral describes it as "long non-coding RNA (DCAR_LNC005899)". Lineage: Eukaryota; Viridiplantae; Streptophyta; Magnoliopsida; Apiales; Apiaceae. The record is from RNAcentral.